Long non-coding RNA from Helianthus annuus (common sunflower), 732 nucleotides. RefSeq lists it as uncharacterized. The record is from RefSeq and is a predicted model, not a curated record. The transcript is spliced from 3 exons. Lineage: Eukaryota; Viridiplantae; Streptophyta; Magnoliopsida; Asterales; Asteraceae.
GAAUACUUUCUUCUUUUGAAGAAUAUUGUCAAUUCUCAGUGGGGGUACUCCUAACAACGUCAAAUGCGCAAAGUAAGUUAGGAUACUUUUAACAACUCAAAAUCGUAGAAAGGUCCUUUUUAAUUCCCUCGGGAGAAUGAGUUGAUGGCGCUUCGUUCAAGUCGCGGAUUUUGAGCAGCUAUUAAUCAUCUGAAAGCGGUUCAAGAUACUCCUGAGCUUCGUUCCGCCAUUGAAGAGAUUCAGCCUGAGAGAAUCACAUUUGGCCUAAAGGUUGAUCAAAGUAAACCAAUUUGUAAUGCUUUCAAGGUUAUGAAGGAUUCACCAGACUGGGCAACACUAAGUGAUGCUCGUAAACGAAUAGUUGAAUGUAAGCAUCAUCAAUAGAUGGGUUGCCAGCUACCGCUCUUGGAUUGGCCGCACAAAUAGCCACAUCAAAGGGUCAUGAAAAUGCCACUGCUGAAAAUGGCCCAUGGGUGAUAACAUUAAACGGGCCAAGUUUCAUGUCUGUUAUGCAACAUGCUAAGAAUCGGGCUUUGGGGGAGGAAAUUUACCGUGCUUAUGUAACACGUGCUUUAAGUGGAGAUUUAGAUGAUACUCCGGUUAUUGAACAAAUUUUGAAGCUUAGGUUAGCAAAGGCUAAGCUUCUUGGAUAUAAUAACUACGCAGAGGUUUAAACUUUAAAUAUUUGUUUUUAACAAUUUAGUUGCUAUCUAAAUAAACUUCAGUUUUGUU